GACGAACGCUGGCGGCGUGCUUAACACAUGCAAGUCGAACGAAAAGGCCCUGCUUUUGUUGGUUGCUCGAUUGGCGAACGGGUGAGUAACACGUGAGUAACCUGCCCUUGACUUUGGGAUAACUUCAGGAAACUGGGGCUAAUACCCGAUAGGAGCUCCUGCUGCAUGGUGGUGGUUGGAAAGUUUCGGCGGUUGGGGAUGGACUCGCGGCUUAUCAGCUUGUUGGUGGGGUAGUGGCUUACCAAGGCUUUGACGGGUAGCCGGCCUGAGAGGGUGACCGGCCACAUGGGGACUGAGAUACGGACCAGACUCCUACGGGAGGCAGCAGUGGGGAAUAUUGCACAAUGGGCGGAAGCCUGAUGCAGAAACGCCGCGUGCGGGAUGACGGCCUUCGGGUUGUAAACCGCUGUCGACUGUGACGAAGAGGGAGUGACGGUAAUGGGUAAAGAAGCACCGGCUAACUACGUG
Molecule: ribosomal RNA, 468 nt
Filed under: uncultured bacterium
Lineage: Bacteria
Description: partial 16S ribosomal RNA
Rfam family: Bacterial small subunit ribosomal RNA
Source: RNAcentral